GACGAACGCUGGCGGCGUGCUUAACACAUGCAAGUCGAACGAGAGCGUAGAGAAAGCUUGCUUUUUCUACAAUCUAGUGGCAAACGGGUGAGUAACGCGUAAACAACCUGCCCUACGGAUGGGGACAACAGCUGGAAACGGCUGCUAAUACCGAAUACGUUCCGAAAGUCGCAUGACUAUCGGAAGAAAGGAUGGCCUCUAUUUAUAAGCUAUCGCCGGAGGAGGGGUUUGCGUCUGAUUAGCUAGUUGGAGGGGUAACGGCCCACCAAGGCGACGAUCAGUAGCCGGUCUGAGAGGAUGAACGGCCACAUUGGAACUGAGACACGGGCCAGACUCCUACGGGAGGCAGCAGUGGGGAAUCUUCCGCAAUGGGCGAAAGCCUGACGGAGCAACGCCGCGUGAGUGAAGACGGCCUUCGGGUUGUAAAGCUCUGUUAUACGGGACGAAUAAUCUUGUGGUUAAUACCCAUGAGAAGUGACGGUACCGUAAGAGAAAGCCACGGCUAACUACGUG
Molecule: ribosomal RNA, 513 nt
Filed under: uncultured bacterium
Lineage: Bacteria
Description: partial 16S ribosomal RNA
Rfam family: Bacterial small subunit ribosomal RNA
Source: RNAcentral